Molecule: ribosomal RNA, 368 nt
Filed under: Paralacydonia cf. weberi NHM_046
Lineage: Eukaryota; Metazoa; Annelida; Polychaeta; Phyllodocida; Paralacydoniidae
Description: partial large subunit ribosomal RNA
Rfam family: Bacterial large subunit ribosomal RNA
Source: RNAcentral
GGUAUCCUGACCGUGCAAAGGUAGCAUAAUCAUUUGUCUUUUAAUUGAAGACUAGAAUGAAUGGAUAAACAAGAAUAAAUCUGUCUUAAUUUAAAUUAUUAUAAAUUUAUAUUUAGGUGAAGAAUCCUAAAUAAAUCUAUAGGACAAAAAGACCCUAUUGAGCUUUAUUUAAUUUUAUAUAUAAAAUUUUUUUAAAAAGAUUUAUAUAAUAAUAAGAGUUUGGUUGGGGCGACAUAGGAAUAAAAAAAUCUUCUUAUAAGAAUAUAAAAAUAAUAAAUAUCCUAGAAAAAGAAAAAAAAUUAGUUACCAUAGGGAUAACAGGCUAAUCUUUAUUGAGAGUUCAUAUUAACAUAAAGGGUUGGCACCUC